AGUGAACGCUGGCGGUAGGCCUAACACAUGCAAGUCGAACGGCAGCACAGUAAGAGCUUGCUCUUACGGGUGGCGAGUGGCGGACGGGUGAGGAAUACAUCGGAAUCUACUUUUUCGUGGGGGAUAACGUAGGGAAACUUACGCUAAUACCGCAUACGACCUACGGGUGAAAGCAUGGGAUCUUCGGACCUUGCGCGAUUGAAUUAGCCGAUGUCGGAUUAGCUAGUUGGCGGGGUAAAGGCCCACCAAGGCGACGAUCCGUAGCUGGUCUGAGAGGAUGAUCAGCCACACUGGAACUGAGACACGGUCCAGACUCCUACGGGAGGCAGCAGUGGGGAAUAUUGGACGAUGGGCGCAAGCCUGAUCCAGCCAUACCGCGUGGGUGAAGAAGGCCUUCGGGUUGUAAAGCCCUUUUGUUGGGAAAGAAAAGCAGCAGGUUAAUACCCCGCUGUUCUGACGGUACCCAAAGAAUAAGCACCGGCUAACUUCGUG
RNAcentral lists this ribosomal RNA (492 nucleotides) under uncultured bacterium. RNAcentral's name for it is "partial 16S ribosomal RNA". It matches the Rfam family "Bacterial small subunit ribosomal RNA", at positions 29 to 507 of the family's 1533-position model. The record is from RNAcentral.